Molecule: ribosomal RNA, 253 nt
Filed under: uncultured bacterium
Lineage: Bacteria
Description: partial 16S ribosomal RNA
Rfam family: Bacterial small subunit ribosomal RNA
Source: RNAcentral
UACGAAGGGGGCUAGCGUUGCUCGGAAUCACUGGGCGUAAAGCGCACGUAGGCGGACUCUUAAGUCGGUGGUGAAAUCCUGGAGCUCAACUCCAGAACUGCCUUCGAUACUGGGAGUCUCGGGUUCGGGAGAGGUGAGUGGAACUGCGAGUGUAGAGGUGAAAUUCGUAGAUAUUCGCAAGAACACCAGUGGCGAAGGCGGCUCACUGGCCCGAUACUGACGCUGAGGUGCGAAAGCGUGGGGAGCAAACAGG